UCCUACGGGGGGCAGCAGUGAGGAAUAUUGGUCAAUGGUCGGGAGACUGAACCAGCCAAGCCGCGUGAGGGAUGAAGGUACAGAGUAUCGUAAACCUCUUUUGUCAGGGAACAAAGGCGGGGACGUGUCCUCGGAUGAGUGUACCUGAAGAAAAAGCAUCGGCUAACUCCGUGCCAGCAGCCGCGGUAAUACGGAGGAUGCGAGCGUUAUCCGGAUUUAUUGGGUUUAAAGGGUGCGCAGGCGGUCUUUUAAGUCAGCGGUCAAAGCCCGGGGCUCCACCCCGGCCCGCCGUUGCAACUGGCAGU
Molecule: ribosomal RNA, 305 nt
Filed under: uncultured bacterium
Lineage: Bacteria
Description: bacterial SSU rRNA
Rfam family: Bacterial small subunit ribosomal RNA
Source: RNAcentral